This 316-nucleotide signal recognition particle RNA is filed under the name Trifolium pratense (red clover). RNAcentral describes it as "SRP RNA Plant_SRP". It matches the Rfam family "Plant signal recognition particle RNA". The record is from RNAcentral. Lineage: Eukaryota; Viridiplantae; Streptophyta; Magnoliopsida; Fabales; Fabaceae.
GCCGAGUUGGGUAGCUCCAACUUGUAACCUAAGUGGGGGCAUUAAGGUGAUGGAACAUAGCUUUGGCUUGUCAGGUUGGUCUGGAGGGUGCACUAUGUUGGCCUGCCCACUCCAAGUUUGGAGUUGAAUCAUGGGACUUGGGCGAAAGCUUGGGUCUCUUGUCUCUUAGACUGGAGGGCACAGCGUGAGGCUGGUUUCACAGAGCAGCGAACACCUCCUUCUCCUAACAGUGGAGGGAUCACAAGCCACAGCAUUCCCGGUCNNNNNNNNNNNNNNCAAAAAGCCUGGUGAGCUAAGCCAUUGAACCAUCAUUUUU